AAUAUAUCGGAACGUGCCCAGUUGUGGGGGAUAACUGCUCGAAAGAGCAGCUAAUACCGCAUACGACCUGAGGGUGAAAGCGGGGGAUCGCAAGACCUCGCGCAAUUGGAGCGGCCGAUAUCAGAUUAGCUAGUUGGCGGGGUAAAAGCCCACCAAGGCGACGAUCUGUAGCUGGUCUGAGAGGACGACCAGCCACACUGGGACUGGGACACGGCCCAGACUCCUACGGGAGGCAGCAGUGGGGAAUUUUGGACAAUGGACGCAAGUCUGAUCCAGCCAUGCCGCGUGCGGGAAGAAGGCCUUCGGGUUGUAAACCGCUUUUGUCAGGGAAGAAACGGGCUUCUCUAAUACAGAGGCCUAAUGACGGUACCUGAAGAAUAAGCACCGGCUAACUACGUGCCAGCAGCCGCGGUAAUACGUAGGGUGCAAGCGUUAAUCGGAAUUACUGGGCGUAAAGCGUGCGCAGGCGGUUUUGUAAGACAGGCGUGAAAUCCCCGAGCUCAACUUGGGAAUGGCGCUUGUGACUGCAAGGCUAGAGUAUGUCAGAGGGGGGUAGAAUUCCACGUGUAGCAGUGAAAUGCGUAGAGAUGUGGAGG
This 596-nucleotide ribosomal RNA is filed under the name uncultured bacterium. RNAcentral's name for it is "bacterial SSU rRNA". It matches the Rfam family "Bacterial small subunit ribosomal RNA", at positions 112 to 704 of the family's 1533-position model. The record is from RNAcentral.